This 492-nucleotide ribosomal RNA is filed under the name uncultured bacterium. RNAcentral describes it as "partial 16S ribosomal RNA". It matches the Rfam family "Bacterial small subunit ribosomal RNA", at positions 29 to 507 of the family's 1533-position model. The record is from RNAcentral.
AGUGAACGCUGGCGGUGGGCCUAACACAUGCAAGUCGAACGGCAGCACAGUAAGAGCUUGCUCUUACGGGUGGCGAGUGGCGGACGGGUGAGGAAUACAUCGGAAUCUACUUUUUCGUGGGGGAUAACGUAGGGAAACUUACGCUAAUACCGCAUACGACCUACGGGUGAAAGCAGGGGAUCUUCGGACCUUGCGCGAUUGAAUGAGCCGAUGUCGGAUUAGCUAGUUGGCGGGGUAAAGGCCCACCAAGGCGACGAUCCGUAGCUGGUCUGAGAGGAUGAUCAGCCACACUGGAACUGAGACACGGUCCAGACUCCUACGGGAGGCAGCAGUGGGGAAUAUUGGACAAUGGGCGCAAGCCUGAUCCAGCCAUACCGCGUGGGUGAAGAAGGCCUCCGGGUUGUAAAGCCCUUUUGUUGGGAAAGAAAAGCAGCAGGUUAAUACCCCGCUGUCCUGACGGUACCCAAAGAAUAAGCACCGGCUAACUUCGUG